RNAcentral lists this ribosomal RNA (121 nucleotides) under Pteropus alecto (black flying fox). Lineage: Eukaryota; Metazoa; Chordata; Mammalia; Chiroptera; Pteropodidae. The record is from RNAcentral.
GUCUGCGGCCACGCCACCCUGAACGUGUCCGAUCCCUUCUGAUUUCGGAAGCUAAGCAGGGUUGGGCCUGGUUAGUACUUGGAUGGGAGACACCACCUAGGAAGACCAGGUGCUAUAGGCA